UUCGGCAGCGGUUAGAAUUGAAGGGUGAGUGCAGAGACGUAGCAGAACAUGUAUUGAGUUGGAGUUUGACGAAAUUCCCGAGGAUGCGGCUCUCCAUCCCACAUGCUACCGGAGGUUUAUUGACAAGCGGGAAAUUGAACGAGUCACACGGCGUGUCUUGCGAGAGGCAGAGAGGGGAGAUGGCCAACAAGACCCCCGAACUAGCCAGGCUACCUCCGCUUUAUCGGCUGUGACCACCACUCCGACCAGGAAACUGCGAUCCAGAUCAAGCUUGGCCAUCACGAGCUCUGGCCCCGUUCUUCCUGCUGUCUGCAUGAUUUGCAAGAAAGACAGCAAAUUUAUCGUCGCGAGUGGCAGACGUCAAAGAGAACGAAAACACAGACUUUAACCGCAGGCAAGUUGCAGGAAGCAGCUGAAGUAAAGGAAGCCAAGAGCAUCCUCAUUCACAUCAAGGACAGAGACUGUGUGGCUCUGGAGGUGCAGUACCACAGAAGUUGCUACAGAGAGUACACAAGGUUUUUGAGUGAGCCUGUCAGAACAGAGAAAGAACAGAUUGGGCCAACAUUUGAUCUGAGCUACAAGUUAUUCUGCGAGAGGGUAAUCCGCUAAAGGCUACUGAUCAACCAAGAGGUGCUGAGGAUGAGCCAACUGAGGAAGGCCUUUAUUGCCCUUGUGCAGUCAAGUGAAGGUGUUGAUGCUUCAACCUACAGACAGGAUAUAUUGAAGAAGAGGCUCAGUCGUGAUUUUCCUCAGCUAGUGUUCCACACCCCCGCCAAACGCAACACAUCUGAACUGGUUUUUGCUGAGAACUUGUCGACGAAUGCAGUCUUGAACUUGUUACCAUCAGGUGCGGAGACGACUCAGUCCAGUGAAAUGAGCCAGACAGACAGCGACACAGAAAGGAGGAAGUCAAAGCAACCAACCACAGCAGAGGAGACACGGACACUUUACACAGCAGCUUUGCUUUUGAAGAGGCUGCUUAGUCACAGUCCUGGCAUGUCAUGCCCAUGGCCCCCAACUGCAGUAAACUUCAAUCUCACUGAAGUCAUUUGCUGUGGCAUGCGCAAAAGAUGUGUACCUGGAUGCUUUCACACAGUUCAUGAAAAUGCCGGUUCAUGUGUAUGCCACUUGUUUUGAUUUUUUAUUUGUUGUAUAGUUAU
Engraulis encrasicolus (European anchovy) is the source of this 1160-nucleotide long non-coding RNA. RefSeq lists it as uncharacterized. The transcript has 4 exons. The record is from RefSeq and is a predicted model, not a curated record. Lineage: Eukaryota; Metazoa; Chordata; Actinopteri; Clupeiformes; Engraulidae.